Molecule: ribosomal RNA, 590 nt
Filed under: Pantoea sp. ARC270
Lineage: Bacteria; Pseudomonadati; Pseudomonadota; Gammaproteobacteria; Enterobacterales; Erwiniaceae
Description: bacterial SSU rRNA
Rfam family: Bacterial small subunit ribosomal RNA
Source: RNAcentral
AAAUUGAAGAGUUUGAUCAUGGCUCAGAUUGAACGCUGGCGGCAGGCCUAACACAUGCAAGUCGGACGGUAGCACAGAGAGCUUGCUCUUGGGUGACGAGUGGCGGACGGGUGAGUAAUGUCUGGGGAUCUGCCCGAUAGAGGGGGAUAACCACUGGAAACGGUGGCUAAUACCGCAUAAUGUCGCAAGACCAAAGAGGGGGACCUUCGGGCCUCUCACUAUCGGAUGAACCCAGAUGGGAUUAGCUAGUAGGCGGGGUAAUGGCCCACCUAGGCGACGAUCCCUAGCUGGUCUGAGAGGAUGACCAGCCACACUGGAACUGAGACACGGUCCAGACUCCUACGGGAGGCAGCAGUGGGGAAUAUUGCACAAUGGGCGCAAGCCUGAUGCAGCCAUGCCGCGUGUAUGAAGAAGGCCUUCGGGUUGUAAAGUACUUUCAGCGGGGAGGAAGGCGGUGAGGUUAAUAACCUUGCCGAUUGACGUUACCCGCAGAAGAAGCACCGGCUAACUCCGUGCCAGCAGCCGCGGUAAUACGGAGGGUGCAAGCGUUAAUCGGAAUUACUGGGCGUAAAGCGCACGCAGGCGGUCUG